CCUACGGGCGGCAGCAGUGAGGAAUAUUGGUCAAUGGACGAGAGUCUGAACCAGCCACGUAGCGUGAAGGAUGAAUGCCCUAUGGGUUGUAAACUUCUUUUAUGUGGGAAUAAAAUGUUCCACGUGUGGGAUUUUGUAUGUACCAUAUGUAUAAGGAUUGGCUAACUCCGUGCCAGCAGCCGCGGUAAUACGGAGGAUCCGAGCGUUAUCCGGAUGUAUUGGGUUUAAAGGGAGCGUAGGUGGAUUGUUAAGUCAGUUGUGAAAGUUUGCGGCUCAACCGUAAAACUGCAGUUGAAACUGGCAGUCUUGAGUACAGUAGAGGUAGGCGGAAUUCGUGGUGUAGCGGUGAAAUGCGUAGAUAUCACGAAGAACUCCGAUUGCGAAGGCAGCUCACUGGACUGCAACUGACACUGAGGCUCGAAAGUGUGGGGAUCAAACAGGAGUAGAUACCCUGGUAGUC
Molecule: ribosomal RNA, 460 nt
Filed under: uncultured bacterium
Lineage: Bacteria
Description: partial 16S ribosomal RNA
Rfam family: Bacterial small subunit ribosomal RNA
Source: RNAcentral